GGUUUGAUCCUGGCUCAGAUUGAACGCUGGCGGCAGGCCUAACACAUGCAAGUCGAGCGGAAACGAGUUAACUGAACCUUCGGGGAACGUUAACGGCGUCGAGCGGCGGACGGGUGAGUAAUGCCUGGGAAAUUGCCCUGAUGUGGGGGAUAACCAUUGGAAACGAUGGCUAAUACCGCAUAAUAGCUUCGGCUCAAAGAGGGGGACCUUCGGGCCUCUCGCGUCAGGAUAUGCCCAGGUGGGAUUAGCUAGUUGGUGAGGUAAUGGCUCACCAAGGCGACGAUCCCUAGCUGGUCUGAGAGGAUGAUCAGCCACACUGGAACUGAGACACGGUCCAGACUCCUACGGGAGGCAGCAGUGGGGAAUAUUGCACAAUGGGCGCAAGCCUGAUGCAGCCAUGCCGCGUGUAUGAAGAAGGCCUUCGGGUUGUAAAGUACUUUCAGCAGUGAGGAAGGUGGGUAUGUUAAUAGCAUAUUCAUUUGACGUUAGCUGCAGAAGAAGCACCGGCUAACUCCGUGCCAGCAGCCGCGGUAAUACGGAGGGUGCGAGCGUUAAUCGGAAUUACUGGGCGUAAAGCGCAUGCAGGUGGUUUGUUAAGUCAGAUGUGAAAGCCCGGGACUCAACCUCGGAAUUGCAUUUGAAAACUGGGCAAACUA
This 656-nucleotide ribosomal RNA is filed under the name uncultured bacterium. RNAcentral describes it as "bacterial SSU rRNA". It matches the Rfam family "Bacterial small subunit ribosomal RNA", at positions 10 to 643 of the family's 1533-position model. The record is from RNAcentral.